This is a long non-coding RNA of Culex quinquefasciatus (southern house mosquito), 511 nucleotides long. RefSeq lists it as uncharacterized. The record is from RefSeq and is a predicted model, not a curated record. The transcript has 2 exons. Lineage: Eukaryota; Metazoa; Arthropoda; Insecta; Diptera; Culicidae.
UUUUGUUUUGGUUGAUAGGAUCCCGGACAGAUCAUUGUUGUGGACUGUCUGAGUUUUUAAAGAAAAGUGUCGGAGGGCGAAGGAUUGCGGCAACAAAAAAAUACGCACUGCUUUACGGUACCUGGUCCCCGACAACGACCAACCAAGCGGCGGCGGACGUGGUACGGAGGACGCUUCUAGAAACCUUAAAAAAGAGCGCGCCAUCCGCUUCGUGGUCAUGGUCUGUCAGAGAACCUCAAGACGAACGUCGAGUACAUUAAGAUUGCCGGAACCCGGGCGGAUCGGCUAUCAACAACUUCGCCAACGGCAAACUCAUAAUUACGCACGCAGAUGCAGGUCGUCUGGGCCGCUUGGGACAACGUGUCCGAGAAUCCAAAAAUGCACGAGCUGCUGAGACUAGUGUUUCUGAGGCCACCGGAGUGGGCGGAAACAUAGAGGUUGCGGCGGUUAAGGGGUUACAUACAUGUAGAAAAUCACAAAAUGUCAUAUUACAGAUUUUUUUUUGAAUCCA